GAUAGCAGCAGCAGCAACCGCCGUGGCCCCAACUGCAGAGCCACCAGCCGCCAUCCCGUGCCGGGCUCCUCGGGCCCGGACACCAGGUAGCAGGCUCUUGGCACCUGGGUCCUCUGGACUGCAUCCUCCACCUUCUCCUCUGGUGCCCCCGGCUCUGGAGGAAGGACAGGAAGGGCCAAGGUGACCAGUGGGCCCAGAAAACUAGAAUGCCAGCCUGCAGGAGCAACACCACACUUGAGCCUAAGUCUUGAGUCCUCAUGGGUGAAGGCCUCAUGGCUCCAGCUGGCUGGCAGUUGCGUGAAGAAAGACCUGGACCUUCUCCCCCUUCUUCCCAGCCAGCCCCCGUCCUCCACUUUCCUGGGGAUGCUGUGUGCAGCCCUGAACAAUCUGCUUAGCAAUACAGAUCACAGACACGCAGGCUCUGUGGAACACCUUCACCCUGAGGGGCAUAUUGUUGGCAAAGUCUAUACUUGCAGCAGUACAAUGGAGUGUGGACAUGAGAACCAGGCUGACUGUGAAUCAUGGCUCCCUGCUGCUUACUAAGUGAGCCUCAGUUUCUUCAUCUGUAGUAUCAGAAUGAUGAUAUAGCGAGCCAUCCCUCACCUGACCUAUGAUGAUGAAGUGAGUCAUUAUGUAUAUAAGCACUUGGCGAGAGAUUAAAUCCCAGGGUUAACUGUUA
Canis lupus familiaris (dog) is the source of this 679-nucleotide long non-coding RNA. RefSeq lists it as uncharacterized. The transcript has 2 exons. NCBI's taxonomy places the organism in Eukaryota, Metazoa, Chordata, Mammalia, Carnivora, Canidae. The record is from RefSeq and is a predicted model, not a curated record.